This 189-nucleotide ribosomal RNA is filed under the name Triticum aestivum (bread wheat). RNAcentral's name for it is "partial small subunit ribosomal RNA". Lineage: Eukaryota; Viridiplantae; Streptophyta; Magnoliopsida; Poales; Poaceae. The record is from RNAcentral.
AUGGAGAGCAACCACAGGGACCUGCAGCCACCGGCAGGCUACCCGACGACAGUGGGCACGGUGCCGGCAAGUGGCGACGGCUCGCCGCGCCGGGAAGAGACAAGGCAACGCGGCCGCAAAACUGGUUUCCUCGAUGCAUGUGUCGCCGCACUGUGCUGCUGCUGGCUGUGCGACCUGUGCUGCGUCUAG